This 752-nucleotide long non-coding RNA is filed under the name Aquila chrysaetos chrysaetos. RNAcentral's name for it is "lncRNA (ENSACCG00020009100.1)". The record is from RNAcentral. Lineage: Eukaryota; Metazoa; Chordata; Aves; Accipitriformes; Accipitridae.
AUGGCCCCCGGCCCCACUCGCGCUCGGCUCCACGCGAGGUGGCAGCACCGCCUCUCCCUCGCUCGGCCCGGGUCGGCGGGUGCGUGUGUGGAGGAGGAGAGGGAAGAGGCUGGUGCCUCGCAGGAUGCGGGACUAACCUGGCGCCCUUCCCCCGCCGGCGGCGGCGCGCUCCGAGGCCUCGGCGGCUGUGAGGAAGGGAUGGUAGUUGUAGCGUUGCCACAGGUGGGUGGUCUGGGCGUACGCGAUUUGCGUAACGGAAGACCCGGCCAGGCAGGGACUUUGCGGAGAAAAGUGUGUAAGCGGGGCGCCGAUCCACGCAGUUGGAGUACGGAAGGAGGCAGCGGCGGAGAGACGGCUAAGCUGUAUGUAGCUGAUCUUCUCGGGCGCUAUGGACAAGAAUACGAAAGAGAACCAUUCUGGAUACCCCGGUCGCGCUGCGAAGAUUGCUAAUCCCAUUGGCGAUGGCCCAAAACGUGUCCCUGUGCCUCAGCAUUCUGCCCAGAGCCGGUUGCUGAACAGCGGAGUUCAAGCGCAACGUGUUCUGUGUCCUUCAAACUUUGCUCAGCGAGUUCCUGUGCAAUCACAAAAAACUGUACUGUCAAACCAAAAACUGUCUAAUAACCAGACAACACAGCAGCCCCGACCAAAAUUUCUGGUCCAAGCGACUGCUAGGCCUCAAGUUCCAAGCAAGCAUAAUGAAAAACCUCAACAGGCUCCAGUACCUGGUAAUUCUGAAGAUUAUGUACAUGUAU